UCAAACUUGGUCAUUUAGAGGAAGUAAAAGUCGUAACAAGGUCUCCGUUGGUGAACCAGCGGAGGGAUCAUUACAGAGUUAUCAAAACUCCCAAACCCAUGUGAACAUACCUCGCGUUGCCUCGGCAGGUGGCGUCCCGCCUCGUAAGCACCUACCCUGUAGGCCCUUAUCCGGUAGACGACCCUGCCGACGGCCCACGAAACCCUGUUUUUUAUAGCAUUAGACUUCUGAAAAGAUAACUAAAUCAGUUAAAACUUUCAACAACGGAUCUCUUGGUUCUGGCAUCGAUGAAGAACGCAGC
RNAcentral lists this unclassified non-coding RNA (301 nucleotides) under uncultured fungus. RNAcentral's name for it is "partial contains small subunit ribosomal RNA, internal transcribed spacer 1, and 5.8S ribosomal RNA". The stretch from base 1 to 73 matches the Rfam family "Eukaryotic small subunit ribosomal RNA", at positions 1759 to 1831 of the family's 1831-position model. Lineage: Eukaryota; Fungi. The record is from RNAcentral.